RNAcentral lists this ribosomal RNA (502 nucleotides) under Beraeodes minutus. RNAcentral's name for it is "partial 16S ribosomal RNA". The record is from RNAcentral. Lineage: Eukaryota; Metazoa; Arthropoda; Insecta; Trichoptera; Beraeidae.
GUCUUUUAGAUUUAAUAAUUUAAAGUCUAACCUGCCCACUGAAAUUAAUUUGAAGGGCCGCAGAUUUAAAUUGUGCAAAGGUAGCAUAAUCAAUAGUCUUUUAAUUGGGGACUUGAAUGAAUGGUUUGACGAAAUUUAUGUUUUAUUAAAUUAAUUAAAAUAAAAAUUAUUUUUUUAAUUAAAAAAUUAAAAUUUUUUAAAAAGACGAGAAGACCCUAUAAAUCUUUAUAUUAAUUUAUUAAAUUAAUUUAUAUUUAAUUAAUAUUUAAUUGGGGUGAUUUUAAAAUUUAUAAAACUUUUAAUUUAUUUAUUCAUUAAUUUUUGUAUAUGUUUAGAUCAAUAUUUUAAAAUUAUAAAAUUAGAUUAAGAUACUUUAGGGAUAACAGCGUAAUUUUAAUUUUAAGAUUUUAUUGAAAUUAAAGAUUGCGACCUCGAUGUUGGAUUAAAAUUAAAAUUAAAUAUAUCCGUUUAAUUUUUAAGUCUGUUCGACUUUUAAAAUUUU